AGAGUUUGAUCCUGGCUCAGAUUGAACGCUGGCGGCAGGCCUAACACAUGCAAGUCGAGCGGUAACACAGAGAGCUUGCUCUCGGGUGACGAGCGGCGGACGGGUGAGUAAUGUCUGGGAAACUGCCUGAUGGAGGGGGAUAACUACUGGAAACGGUAGCUAAUACCGCAUAACGUCGCAAGACCAAAGUGGGGGACCUUCGGGCCUCAUGCCAUCAGAUGUGCCCAGAUGGGAUUAGCUAGUAGGUGGGGUAAUGGCUCACCUAGGCGACGAUCCCUAGCUGGUCUGAGAGGAUGACCAGCCACACUGGAACUGAGACACGGUCCAGACUCCUACGGGAGGCAGCAGUGGGGAAUAUUGCACAAUGGGCGCAAGCCUGAUGCAGCCAUGCCGCGUGUAUGAAGAAGGCCUUCGGGUUGUAAAGUACUUUCAGCGAGGAGGAAGGCAUUAAGGUUAAUAACCUUGGUGAUUGACGUUACUCGCAGAAGAAGCACCGGCUAACUCCGUGCCAGCAGCCGCGGUAAUACGGAGGGUGCAAGCGUUAAUCGGAAUUACUGGGCGUAAAGCGCACGCAGGCGGUCUGUCAAGUCGGAUGUGAAAUCCCCGGGCUCAACCUGGGAACUGCAUUCGAAACUGGCAGGCUAGAGUCUUGUAGAGGGGGGUAGAAUUCCAGGUGUAGCGGUGAAAUGCGUAGAGAUCUGGAGGAAUACCGGUGGCGAAGGCGGCCCCCUGGACAAAGACUGACGCUCAGGUGCGAAAGCGUGGGGAGCAAACAGGAUUAGAUACCCUGGUAGUCCACGCCGUAAACGAUGUCGACUUGGAGGUUGUGCCCUUGAGGCGUGGCUUCCGGAGCUAACGCGUUAAGUCGACCGCCUGGGGAGUACGGCCGCAAGGUUAAAACUCAAAUGAAUUGACGGGGGCCCGCACAAGCGGUGGAGCAUGUGGUUUAAUUCGAUGCAACGCGAAGAACCUUACCUACUCUUGACAUCCAGAGAACUUAGCAGAGAUGCUUUGGUGCCUUCGGGAACUCUGAGACAGGUGCUGCAUGGCUGUCGUCAGCUCGUGUUGUGAAAUGUUGGGUUAAGUCCCGCAACGAGCGCAACCCUUAUCCUUUGUUGCCAGCGAUUAGGUCGGGAACUCAAAGGAGACUGCCAGUGAUAAACUGGAGGAAGGUGGGGAUGACGUCAAGUCAUCAUGGCCCUUACGAGUAGGGCUACACACGUGCUACAAUGGCAUAUACAAAGAGAAGCGACCUCGCGAGAGCAAGCGGACCUCAUAAAGUAUGUCGUAGUCCGGAUUGGAGUCUGCAACUCGACUCCAUGAAGUCGGAAUCGCUAGUAAUCGUAGAUCAGAAUGCUACGGUGAAUACGUUCCCGGGCCUUGUACACACCGCCCGUCACACCAUGGGAGUAGGUUGCAAAAGAAGUAGGUAGCUUAACCUUCGGGAGGGCGCUUACCACUUUGUGAUUCAUGACUGGGGUGAAGUCGUAACAAGGUAACCG
RNAcentral lists this ribosomal RNA (1502 nucleotides) under uncultured bacterium. Its description in RNAcentral is "16S ribosomal RNA". It matches the Rfam family "Bacterial small subunit ribosomal RNA". The record is from RNAcentral.